CCUAGGAACAGUGGGUUAACUGCCUUGUUCAGUGGCAGAAUGACAGAUUUUUACCUUGUCAGCUCGGGGAUUUGAUUUUGCAACCUUUCGGUUACUAGGCCAACACGCUAACCACUAGGCUACCUGCAACUCCCAGGUAGCUGGGUUAACUUAGUUUAUUUUUUAUACUUUUUAUUAUACUUUUUUUUAAUACUUUUUUUUUAAUACUUUUUAUACUAGUUUAUUUUUUAUACUUAUUUUUUAUUUUUAACUUUUUAUGUUUUAUACGUAGGACAAAGAAAGGUAAGCAAAGUUACGCCAUUUGAGAUACACAUUACACAACGGUACUAGUACAUAUCCUGAAUACAUGAUAUAUGUUGUUUUUUCAUCUUUUUAAUGAGUUUGUUUUUUUGGUCUUUAAAAAAGGUAUGUACAGUAUUCACUGGGGCAUUUUUUAGGAAUUAAUUAGUUAUGUCAAGUUAAAGGUCAGACUGAACAUUGACACUCCCCCCACAGUGCUGAACUUGAAGAGUAGUGGUCAGCCAGCCAGCCAGUCAAUCAGUCAGUUAGUCAGUCAGCCAGCCAGCCAGUCAAUCAGUCAGUCAGUCAGUCAGCCAGCCAGUCAAUCAGUCAGUUAGUCAGUCAGCCAGUCAGUCAUCAGCCAGUCAGUCAGUCAGCCAGUCAGUCAGACAAUCAGCCAGCCAGUCAAUCAGUCAGUCAUCAGCCAGUUAGUCAGUCAGCCAGUCAGUCAUCAGCCAGUCAGUCAGUCAGCCAGUCAGUCAGACAAUCAGCCAGCCAGUCAAUCAGUCAGUUAGUCAGCCAGUCAGUCAGUCAGCCAGUCAGCCAGUCAGUCAUCAGCCAGUCAGUCAGACAAUCAGCCAGCCAGUCAAUCAGUCAGUUAGUCAGUCAGCCAGUCAGUCAUUCAGCCAGUCAGCCAGCCAGCCAGCCAACCAGCUAGCCAGCCAGCCAGCCAGUCAGUCAGUCAGAGGAUGUAAGAGGAAGGGAAAUCCACACGGAAAGUACUGUUCACCCAUGGUCACAAACAGGCGCACACACACACAGACAUAUACACACCUAUGCGCACACACACACACCUACACACACACACACACACACACACGCAUUCACGCACACACACACUCACACACGCGCACACGCACACGCACACACACACACACG
Molecule: long non-coding RNA, 1158 nt
Organism: Oncorhynchus tshawytscha (Chinook salmon)
Lineage: Eukaryota; Metazoa; Chordata; Actinopteri; Salmoniformes; Salmonidae
Source: Ensembl